RNAcentral lists this long non-coding RNA (2164 nucleotides) under Solanum tuberosum (potato). RNAcentral describes it as "long non-coding RNA (STUB_LNC002328)". The record is from RNAcentral. Lineage: Eukaryota; Viridiplantae; Streptophyta; Magnoliopsida; Solanales; Solanaceae.
UCCUCUAGAUGCUCAUUGAUCAUUAGUUAGAUGCUUGCCUCCUUGAAGGCCUUGUAAAGGUUAUUGAUAAGUGCCAUUUUCUUUUUCGGUAUAUUAAGAUAAUAGAGGAAUGUGAUGUGAUAAAGGGGGUUACAUGAAGAUAGCAUUUGACAGCAUAAGGCUAACUUUGGCCCACCAACCUCUGUACGUCAAUUGCAAAAAGAGUAGUAGUGACCCUGAAACAUGAUUAACACGAGACAUAUUUUGCAAGUAAGAGAAAUUCAUCAAACUAAAGGUCAAUCAGAAAAGAAAGCACAUUGAAGAAUUAUGCAUAAUUGAAGAAGUAAAAGAAGUAAACAGCAAAAAUAACUAAUUCAAAGGAAAUGGGACAAUGAUUACAUGAUCCAUAAGUAGACAACUAGAAACUGAACUCAUCCCUCCUCAGGUUCUAGAUGGAGAGGAAGCCAACCACAUGGAUAUUACUAUUACGUAGAAAACUCAUAACUAGAUAAAAGACAAAGACUUUGGAAAUUAAAAGCAAAUGAAGAAAUCGCAUUUUUUUCUUCUCUCGACUAGUGAAUAAAAGGAUUUAACAUGCAUUGUGGUUCAAUCAAAUAUCUAAAACUCCAGGCGUAACAUAUAUAUACCUAUAGUAAGCACUUAAAAUGUGAAGGAAUUUCAAGAAAGUGAAACUGCUUACAACUUCUAUUUCAAGGCAACUUUUAAAAGAUAACCAUGUCCCCAUAUUCAAGUUGCAAAAGGCAAGGAGUGCUUUACAAAUCUUGGAGCUUUUACUGCAAAUAAUUCCAGCUGAAGAGGCAAUUUGAAAAAAGAAAGAUAGUGAAUUCCACCAGAAAAAGCAUGAUAGGACACACCUGACUACCAAGGAAAUUUAGCUUCUUGUCACGGUUUCACAUAUCACAUUGCAAAAGGCAAGGAAUGAUUUAUAACUCUGGAAAAUUUACACUGCAAAUAAAUCCAGCUGAAGAGGAAAUGUGAUAAAAGAUAGAAAGAAAUUGAACUCCACUUGAAAAAGUGUAAUAUGGCAUGCCUGACCGCCAUGGAAACCUAGCUUAUUGUACAUGUUUUCACAUUUCACAUAGGGUUCAAGCCAUAUCAUCCAUGUUGCUUGUUGCCAACUUCCUCGCUCUUCACAGUUUGAAGAGCUUCGUUCAAACGCCUUCCAUCUCUGCUAAAGCCCAUCCAAUGUCUUUCCAAAGAUUUUCUCAAUGUCCAUACAGUACUAGAACAUAUGAACUAGCACAGGAAUUCACAAUGUACAUUUUUUUAAUAGAAAGUCAUAAUGCCCAUGUCUAUCAUAAUGCUGCAGAAAGAAAGCGUUUCAGCAAUUUGGGAGGUGAAAAAUUAAAAAGCCCAAGAAAGGUUUAGCUAGUUAUGGAAGACAUGUGAGCAAACCUAAGCCCAAGUAGUAAGUUCUGAAGAGGGCUCUUUUUCGACACUGCAGCACCAAGCAUAUAAUGUUACUGUAUAACCCAAUUACAAAGUAACAAUUAAGCACAAAUCAAACCAACAGAGACCAUGACAUCGAGAAUGAGAUCGGAUAGAACAAGCACAUCUCCAUACAAAGUUUUAAGACAUCAAUACCACAAAGAACAGUAUCCCCAUUAAGUUGAUGUCAGUAGAGUCCAAAGAGUAUCAAUAAACAUGUGAAGUUAAAUUGAAAUUUUAACACCAAACAAUUGACGAUCCAAAUGGAAACACCUAAAAUGGAAAGAGAAGAAGUAAUAAACUAGGAGGAAACUGAAGGGCAAACACUAAGAUAACUUUUUCUGACAAAGCCAUACCUGAAAUGGCUAUAUCUCUCACAUAUCUAUGCCAAUAGCUUGGUCACAGUUCCUAGCUUCGAUGGAGCACCUGUCCGUACUAGCAGUUCAGUACAUUCUAGAUCUAUUUUCUUGAAAGCAAACCUUCUCAACUCUAUGGCACCGGUGUUCUAUGCAAACAACAUUUAUUAAUAGGAAAAGCCACGGAAACAGAAAAAAAGGAAAUAAAAUAAAAGGGAAAUAAAGGAAGAAGGCCAAGAUAACUUACUCUACGAAAGAAUACCUUGAACCACUAUUCAACUUUUUUUUUAUGGCAAUACCUUUCUGGAGCUUCUAGCGACGGUUGUACCACUUGGAGCACUUGUGAAACGGGACGGGCAUGGGCAAAAACACCUGAAAGG